AAAAAAAAAGUAAAAAGAUGUUGUAGUAUAUGAAAAAUACGUCACAAACGUUGAAGUCUUCUUGUCUCUCCCUCU
Molecule: non-coding RNA, 75 nt
Filed under: Chloropicon roscoffensis
Lineage: Eukaryota; Viridiplantae; Chlorophyta; Chloropicophyceae; Chloropicales; Chloropicaceae
Source: RNAcentral